UGCUCAUCUAACAAGAUUUGAUUAGAGAAUCAUUAUGAUAUUUAACCAAAUCAGUGUAGCUCAUAGUUCCAUACAUGAAUGUUCCUUAAACCUUUUGCUUUUGUGUUAGUUUGAAAUAUAAAAAAAGUUUAAAUCAUAUGAGUUUUGACUCAUUAAACAUUAUGCACAUAUGUAGACUAUAUUUAACAGAGUUCUACUUCAAUUUGGAGUCUAUAUGAUGUUUCUGAUACAAUGUGGUUGAUGUCGUGAUACUCUCAAUAAGAUUCUGCACACACAACACACACUCCCUCUACAUAUAUAUGUAUAUAUACAUGAUCAGAACUUGUUUCAAGUGUCACAAUAGCUCAAUGUAAAUAUAAGGAUUACUGUUUAACUUGGAGCAGCUAAUUAUGUGGGUUCAAAUAAACUUUUCCAAUAUCGAAUUCUAAACUACGAUCUAGGUAGUUAGCUUUCUAAAUAAAGUUUGUUUUGCAUGUCUCUUGAGAAACUAUGCCAUCUGAUACCCAUAAUCAGAGGUCCAGGAGAGAUAUGUUAAAUACAUUACCCAAGUGAUUUAUAUGAUACUCAUGUAGAUGGUUUAUAAAAUCAUGACAAAUUAAAUAUAUAUGUAUAUAUACUUAAAAUAGUAAAAAAAUUAGAUAGCCAAGGAUGAAGCUGAUAUGUUCUACUUAUACUAGAAGUCAAAUACAUCUCCCUACUCUUGAACAACAGGGAACACUCAACAGUUCCCAAUAGUUGAGUUGGAUAUUGCUCGGCCAUGUUGGGGAAGUUGCCUAAGUGACUCUUAUGAUCAUAGUGGCUAAAAAAAUGAAGUGUGCAAGUCUCACAAUUUCAUUUGGGGAUAAUGGGGAACAAAUUUAAGAGUCAAAUUUCAAUUAGAAUGGUGGGCACCUAGUCAGAGAAGUUAAUACUUGUACUACUUGUGAUAGAUUUAACUUGGUACAUUGAAAUAUACAGAAAACAAGCACAAAGGUAAUAGCACUGAAGCUUAGCCAAAAGAGCAUUCUAAUUUUUAAGCCUAAUGAGGAUAGCACUACUGCUUCCAAAUUAUGUCCCGGGCAAAUUUUGAUGCAGUAAUCCAGAACUUAAAUCUGUAACUGUUGGGACCUGCAAUAUGUUUAUGUUGAAUUCCUUCUACAAGAUACACAAUCCAUUAAGAUUUCCAUCCAUGUGCAGUAGCAGAAGAGUGUGCAUGCUAAUCCCUAAAUACUAAUUCGCAGCUUUCUUUCACCCAUAGCUAUCUUAAUAAAGAAGCAUAAGGAGAUAAACAAUAGGAGGCCACAGAUUUCGGAAAACCUAAUGCCCAUGUCAUCAUCUCCAAUGAUAUCGCCAACAAAAUUUCACAAGAAAUCCAACUUGAUAAGCCUCACUUAACCAAACUCCAAAUACAUACUUAUCUACUAAACCCUAAUCACGAGAAAGAUAGCCUACACAUACACUCCUCAAUCCGAACUCGACCAAUAAAAAAGCCCUAAAAGAUGCUCUAGUGUAAGCAAGAAAGGAUGGGUGAGGGGCGACUGACGGGGAAGCAAUCGUAGGCCCCGAAGAUGGGCCAGAGUCAGUGAGGACUACAAGCGCCUGCUGCACCGCCAUCUUAGCCUUCUUCUUUCUCCUCCUCCUCCGCCCGAUUCCUUGCUCGCCCUUCUCGUCGCCAAUCGCGUCAGAUCGAGCAAGUGGACAAAACCGACGAAGACCGAAAAAGAAAGCCAAACGUCUUUAGGAUUUAAUAUUACUAGUAGUAACAACUAUGUGUAUAAAUGUCGAUGGAUCAUUUUAGUAAGUACAUUGUGAUGUACGCUGAGAAAGGCAUUCGGAUCACCUGUCUCAGUGAACCAGGGAGCUUUAUUAUUCCUGACGAGUAGCUAUCCACGACAGUAUUGGCUCCCUGACAUCUUCGCUUUGGUGUGGCGUGGGACUCCUCCGAUAGUGGAGACACUGUUCCCUGCUU
RNAcentral lists this long non-coding RNA (1948 nucleotides) under Musa acuminata (dwarf banana). RNAcentral's name for it is "long non-coding RNA (MACU_LNC004748)". The record is from RNAcentral. Lineage: Eukaryota; Viridiplantae; Streptophyta; Magnoliopsida; Zingiberales; Musaceae.